This 1094-nucleotide ribosomal RNA is filed under the name Hyperioides longipes. Its description in RNAcentral is "eukaryotic LSU rRNA". It matches the Rfam family "Eukaryotic large subunit ribosomal RNA", at positions 1095 to 1864 of the family's 3401-position model. The record is from RNAcentral. Lineage: Eukaryota; Metazoa; Arthropoda; Malacostraca; Amphipoda; Hyperiidae.
UUGAUCCGGGGCGAAACACGUCGUGGCUCACGCUGGGGCGAAGGUGAAUGCGUGCGUUCAAAGUGGGUCCUUUCUGGUAAGCAGAACUGAUAAUGAGGGAUGAACCUAACGCUUAUGCUAAGGGGCCAAAGAGACAGCUAUUUCUCGAAACCAUUGAAAAGGUGUUGCUUGCUGAAGACAGCAGGACGGUGGUCAUGGAAGUCGAUAUCCGCUAAGGAGUGUGUAAUUACUCAUCCUGCCGAAGCGAGUAACCCUGAAAAUGGAUGGCUCUAUAGCUCUCUCCCGAUGCAUAGCCGUCAAUGGCAAUCGAUUCACAUUGUGUCUCCACGCCUUGACGAGUAGAGUGGUGUGCUGCAUGCGUUGACGACCGUCUCGUGAGAGUGGUCUGAGCGUGCAGCAGUACAGAUCUUGGUGGUAGUAGCAAGUACUCUGGUGAAUAACCUUGAGCUGUGAGGUUGAUAAGGGUUCCAUGUCAACAGUGUUUGUACAUGGGUAAGUCGGUCCUAAGCUCUCACUAUUCCUAGUGAUAAUGGCGAUACAACAGUUGUCCAUGUGAUGUGCUGUGCGUGUCUCUUCCUUUUGCCCUCGCAUGCAUGCGAACGGUAGCGUCUUAUCUAUACGAUAAGGGUGACGCUCUGAUCCUAGUAGUGUGUGUAUGUGUUGUUUGGAAGAGAACAAACACCAUGGCGCGUUAUUCACACAUACGACUGCUUCGCUCGUGGCGAAAGGGAACUACGGGCUCAGUUCGUAGACUGCACCUGGUACCCUGAGACGGUUUACCGACUCACGGACCUGGCAUCAGCUUGCCAGGCCAGUCGCUGUCAUGAGUACUCCGGCGGGGAGAUUUCUUCUCUCCUUGAUAUAGAUGGUGUCCUGAAAAGACCUAGAGUCGCGGAAGGACGAUGCUGUCUAGCAGAGUACUCUACUCCUUCGAGUAGAAUUCGGUGGUACUCAUGAUCCGUGAAAAGGUGGUCGAGGGGAAUGUAUACGAGCUUCAGGUCGACACCUAUGUGUUGUUCUGUUGCGACGUGUACACACUUUAGCUACGAGUGUUAAUCCAGGGCGUAUGCCGUAACCCAUAUCCGCAUGCCGGU